AGUGUCUUAAGUGUGAUUGUCUUGACCAGCCAAAGUAAAUCUAAGUGUCCGGACUCAAAGUGAGUCUAAAUGUGUCCAGGCCACCCAGAGUCAAAAUGUGUCUAGGCCACCCAGAUAGAGUCUAAAUUUGUCUCUAAAUAGAGUAUUGGCUGAAAACAGAUGAAUGAAAUGUACUAUUGUGCUUUAUCUUUUUUUUUCAUUCAAAGAAAUAAACUUUCAGUUUGAUCAGAAAG
Non-coding RNA from Biomphalaria pfeifferi, 233 nucleotides. NCBI's taxonomy places the organism in Eukaryota, Metazoa, Mollusca, Gastropoda, Planorbidae. The record is from the annotation of a GenBank genome assembly.